Lynx canadensis (Canada lynx) is the source of this 779-nucleotide long non-coding RNA. RefSeq lists it as uncharacterized. The transcript has 2 exons. NCBI's taxonomy places the organism in Eukaryota, Metazoa, Chordata, Mammalia, Carnivora, Felidae. The record is from RefSeq and is a predicted model, not a curated record.
GAACCCACAAGCCAUGACUUCCGAGCUGAAGUCGGACGCUUAACCGGCUGAGCCACCCAGGCACCCACCACCCCCUGCUAUAAAGUAUUAUUAAAUGAAGACUCCCCGGGUUCAUACGGAUCUCUUACGAUGAUUUUGCCCAGCUGCUCAACAGGCACACUAACAAAACAUUUGAAUCGCCAAGAGACCUCUAAUCUGUCCUUCUGACUAUAGCGAAAAAGGAUCCUCAGACAGUGACAUCCCCCAGACUGGAAGUCCUGUCACAGCACAGGACCUACCUCUCCUCUUUGUGUGUUCCGGAGCAGGACACUGAGGCCCGGCGCCCUGUGAGUGUCACUGCUCCGUCGCAGAUUGUUGUACGGGUUGCAUACUGUAAAAGUCCACCGGAUGUAGGGAAUGUGGAACUGAAAUUCAGCCUGUGUUCUACUUGCCGGUCUGGGUGACUGGUGUGGGUCUGUGUCUGUCCAGAGGGGGGCACCUGGUUUCUCUAAUUUUUACCCUGUGAGCUGGCAUGGCCCCAGGCCCUCUAGAGGCUGGCGUUUUCACACCAGAGUUCAGAGGCUUCUGCAUGUACACGCAGGCCAGCUGUCGGAUGGCCGUGGACCUGGGGAGCAGGACUUAUGCGUGAGAUACCUGCAGACCAAGGCCCUGGGCACUUAGUCUCGGCAAGUACAGAGAAGGGGACCGAGGGAACCCGCUGGCCCCUGGUGGGGUGGGCAGGGUACAGCAGAGUGGCCGGAGCACGGGACCACAGAAAUAAAAACACAACAAGGAUUCAC